UUUUAUAGAAAAUCAAGUAGUUACUGAAUUCCUGAAGUACUAACUAGGAUUGUUCCAGCUGGUGUGCAGAAACCUGGUAUACCUGCAACAGGCAAGACGGCCCCUACCUUCUGCUUAGCAAGCCAAAUAGCAGUCAGUCAGUAUUGCCUCUAAUUAUGACAGCAGUUUUGUGGAAGACCCUUCUCCAAAACCAAAGCUCAGCUUCAAUGAGAAAGAAAAAUGGGAAGAAGAAUGUGAUCAUAUCUUCCAGGGUUUAGAGAAAAGCAGGAAAAAUUCACACUAAAUUAGACCCAGUUCUCUGGAGGUGAGGGUAAGAUAUUAAAUUAUUAAUAUCUUUCAAGAUAUUAAAGGCCAGUGGGAUGUUUUGAACAAAUAAAUAUAAUUUAAUUCUUAAUGAAUUAUCAAAGAAAAAACAACUCCCAAAUGACUAGAAGCAAAAAUU
This is a non-coding RNA of Anas platyrhynchos (mallard), 442 nucleotides long. The record is from RefSeq and is a predicted model, not a curated record. NCBI's taxonomy places the organism in Eukaryota, Metazoa, Chordata, Aves, Anseriformes, Anatidae.